GACCUGAGUGGAAAUCAGGAGUCACAUGCUUAACUGAAUGAGCCACCCAGGUGCCCCUAGACUUACCUUUUUAAAAAAAAAUUUUUUUAACAUUUAUUUAUUUUUUGAUAGAGACAGAGCGUGAUCGGGGGAGGGGCAGAGAGAGAGGGAGACAGAGAAUCUGAAGCAAGCUCCAGGCUUUGAACUGACAGCACAGACCCGGACGCGGAGCUUGAACUCAUGGACCAUGAGAUCAUGACCUGAGUUGAAGUCAGACACUUAACUGAGCCACCCAGGUGCCCCCUCUAGACUUACUUUUUUUUUUUUUUUUUAAUGUUUAUUCACCUUUGAGAGACAGAGACAGAGCAUGAGCUGGGAAGGGGCAGAUAGAGAGGGAGACACAGAAUCCGAAGCAGGCUCCAGGCUCUGAGCUGUCAGCACAGAGCCCGAUGCAGGGCUUGAACUCACGAACUGUGAGAUCGUGACCUGAGCCGAAGUCGGAUGCUCAACUGACUGAGCGACCCAGGCACCCCCUAGACUUACUUUUUUAACUUAAAUAUUUUUUCUGCACCUCUUAAUUACUACAUGGUUUGACUAUAGGAUGUUCAUAUAACUUGUUUGCAAAUUAGGUUUUAAAUUAUUUUUUGCAUCAUAAUGCUGUGAUCAGUAUCUUUAUGCAUACUUCUUUGCACAUUGUUGGGUUGUUUCCUUCAUGUAGAUGCUUAGGUGUAAAAUUGUUGGGUCAAGGUGUAUGUAUAUUUUAAAAUAUUUGAUCUGCUUUGCCACAUUGCCCUCUACAGCAGUUGAUUGUAUUUUUACAAAUACGAUCUGAAGAUGACCUUGUUUUCAAUCCUGUCUUCAAAGACUUGGUCAACCUUACCUAUGGAAGAUUCAGUCACCAAAAUGGAUGGGACUCUACAGACAAACGGAUAUUUGAGUAUGGAAUGCUCUAGGACAAUCCACAACCUUUGACUCAUCGUUUACACUGGAAGAACAGAACAGAGAUUUGGUUUCCGAGCAUUGGAUCUCAGCCCUUAACUUGCCACCACCCACCUACCUACUUAGCACCACCACCAUAUGAAUUCUGUGUUUUUAUUUUGUGCAGCCAGUCUACAGUAGAUGUGCUUUUAUUCAAAGCUUUUGUUUUCGGAGGUUUUCUUUGUUGUGUUUUU
This 1151-nucleotide long non-coding RNA is filed under the name Lynx canadensis (Canada lynx). RNAcentral describes it as "lncRNA (ENSLCNG00005003442.1)". The record is from RNAcentral. Lineage: Eukaryota; Metazoa; Chordata; Mammalia; Carnivora; Felidae.